AUGGAUCCCAUCGUCAAAAAAUGGCGGCAUUAGCAGGAUCUGAGGGUGGAGGUUUUGGCCUUCUGAUGUCAAAAGGCGAAUCGGGAGACAUGGAAACCCUCACUGUGCAUCCUCUAUAGAGGGGUCAGAACCACUCCAUGAAAUCUGUGCAGAUCAGAACAGAAGCUGGCCCGCGGCUCCACGUCGAACCUCCUGUGGACUAUUCUGAUGAUUUUGAGCUGUGUGGGGAUGUGACUCUCCAGGCAAACAACACUUCUGAGGAUCGUCCGCAGGAUACCAAAUCUCCCACCAGCACCAAGCCCUGUGGUUUUAACUUCUCCCUUCUGAAUGCAUGUGGACAUUCUGACCCUUCAAGCAGUGCGGACAAAGAAAGGAUCCUCUUAACUAUUCAGGAUGUGAUGGAGCUGAGAAAAAGCCUGGAACUUAGUGUAAAUCUACAAAGGAAACAAAAGGAUUGUUCCAGCGAUGAGUAUGACUCUAUCGAGGAAGACAUACUCUCUGAGCCUGAGCCAGAGGACCCAGCGCUGGUAGGCCAUCCCAGAGAUGACCGCCCUCCUUCCAGCGGCGACUUGACUCAGAAAGAUGUUCACGGGGAACGGGAGACAGAAGGACGCUCUCCCCCGGGCCCAGACACCCUCGUGGUGCUGGAAUUUAACCCAGCUUCCAAAAGUCAUAAAAGGGAAAGGAAUUUGUCUGCAAAGCGGAAGGACAAUGCUGAGGUUUUCAUUCCCACCAAACCUGAGCCAAACCUGACUCCCCAAGCUCCUGCUGUAUUCCCAGACCAGGAGAGGAUGUGCUCCAGACCUGGAAGCCGGCGAGAGAGACCCCUGUCUGCAACCCACAAAACUCUUUGCGAGGCUGAGGACCUAGAGGAAGACGCCUCUGCUGUGCUCCGAGCCAUCCAAGUGGAGAACGCGGCCCUGCAGAGGGCGCUCCUCAGCAGAAAGGCCGAGCAGCCGGCCAGCGCACUGCAGGAUGCAGAGGGACCACCAGCAAAACCAUGGACCAGUCUGCUGGAGGAGAAGGAAGAGACCUUUGAGCUGCUUCCCAUCACCACGGCGACCACUACUCAGGAGCCGGCAGCAGGGGGAGCCAGAGCCAUCAACCAGGCCAUGGACAGAAUUGGACUUCUGGGAAGCAGACAACAGCAGAAGCUUCUGAAAGUCCUCCAGGCCGUCGAAAAUGACUCUGCCCACCUCAGCAGAGUGGUUUCACCAACCAAGGAGCAAGUAUCACACACAGAGGACAAACAGAGAAUGAGGGCAGACGAGAUCAAAGAUGCCAUCUACGUGACCAUGGAGAUCCUGUCCAACUGGGGCAACUCGUGGUGGGUGGGUCUCACAGAAGUCGAGUUCUUUGACUUGAAUGACACAAAGCUUUAUGUGUCGCCCCACGAUGUGGAUAUCCGGAACACAGCCACUCCUGGGGAGCUGGGCCGCCUCGUCAACAGGAACUUAGCUGGCAAGAAAGACUCCUCCCCGUGGACCUGCCCCUUCCACCCACCACUCCAGCUGUUUUUUGUUAUUCGAAACACAAGACAGCUGGGGGACUUCCGUCUGGCCAAGAUCAAGGUUCGGAAUUACUGGACGGCUGAUGGCUCUCUCUCUGUUGUCCAGGCUGGAGUGCAGUGGCGUGAUCAUGGCUCACUGCAGCCUCGACCUCCUGGGCUCAAGCGUUCCUCCCACCUCAGCCUCCCAAGUAGAUGGGACUCCAGGUGUGCACACCACACACAGCUAGUUUUUUUUUAUUUUUUGUAGAGAUAGGCUGGUCUCAAACUCUUGGCCUCAAGUCAUCCUCCCACCUCAGCUUCCCAAAGUGCUGGGAUUACAGGCGUGAGCCACCGCACCCGGUCCUGAUUGAGGAAUUUAAAAGACUACUCUGGUUGAUUUGGAGAAUGGAUCAGGGGGCAGAGGGAGCCCCGAGAGAGGAGGCUCAAGGCAUAGAACAGCCUAGCUGAAGAUGGUGGUGGCCUGGAUGAGGGUGUCAGUGCUCUUGGGGUGUACUUUAGGUGGACUCAGCUCAUCCUAUGACCGUUUGCAUUUUCAGCAAUGCCUUUUUCUGGAAAGAAGUUUUCAAAUGAAUGCAAAAGUGAAGAGAUUAGUUCAGUAAUGAGGUGUGUAUCCAUCACCUGCUUCAAUAAUUACCAACAUUCUGCUAUUGUUGUUUCACGUAUCCCCUUAACAUUUGAAAGUAAAUUGUAGCUAUCACACUAUUUCAGUCACAAAUCCUUCAGUAUACAUCUCUAAC
This 2247-nucleotide small RNA is filed under the name Pongo abelii (Sumatran orangutan). RNAcentral describes it as "processed transcript". The record is from RNAcentral. Lineage: Eukaryota; Metazoa; Chordata; Mammalia; Primates; Hominidae.